CCUACGGGUGGCAGCAGUAGGGAAUCUUUCCCAAUGGGCGAAAGCCUGACGGAGCAACGCCGCGUGCACGAUGAAGGCCUUCGUGUUGUAAACUGCUUUUAUAAGCGAGAAAUAUGAUGGUAACUUAUGAAUAAGGAUCAGCUAACUACGUACCAGCAGCCGCGGGCAUACGUAGGAUCCGAGCAUUAUCCGGAGUGACUGAUGGUAGAGAGUUGCGUAUGUGGCAUAAUAAAUAGCUAUUGAAAUCAGGUGGGUCAAACAUUCAGACUAUAAGCUAAACUGUUAAGCUCGAGAACGUGAGAGGUAAGUGGAAUUACUAGUGUAGGAGUGAAAUGCGUAGAUAUUAGAAGGAACACCAAUAGCGUAGGCAGGUUACUGGGACGGUACUGACACUAAGGCACGAAAGCGUAGGGAGCAAACGGGAUUAGAUACCCGUGUAGUC
Molecule: ribosomal RNA, 442 nt
Filed under: uncultured bacterium
Lineage: Bacteria
Description: partial 16S ribosomal RNA
Rfam family: Bacterial small subunit ribosomal RNA
Source: RNAcentral